RNAcentral lists this ribosomal RNA (465 nucleotides) under uncultured Klebsiella sp. RNAcentral's name for it is "bacterial SSU rRNA". It matches the Rfam family "Bacterial small subunit ribosomal RNA", at positions 338 to 795 of the family's 1533-position model. Lineage: Bacteria; Pseudomonadati; Pseudomonadota; Gammaproteobacteria; Enterobacterales; Enterobacteriaceae. The record is from RNAcentral.
CCUACGGGAGGCUGCAGUGGGGAAUAUUGCACAACGGGCGCAAGCCUGAUGCAGCCAUGCCGCGUGUGUGAAGAAGGCCUUCGGGUUGUAAAGCACUUUCAGCGGGGAGGAAGGCGGUGAGGUUAAUAACCUCAUCGAUUGACGUUACCCGCAGAAGAAGCACCGGCUAACUCCGUGCCAGCAGCCGCGGUAAUACGGAGGGUGCAAGCGUUAAUCGGAAUUACUGGGCGUAAAGCGCACGCGGGCGGUCUGUCAAGUCGGAUGUGAAAUCCCCGGGCUCAACCUGGGAACUGCAUUCGAAACUGGCAGGCUAGAGUCUUGUAGAGGGGGGUAGAAUUCCAGGUGUAGCGGUGAAAUGCGUAGAGAUCUGGAGGAAUACCGGUGGCGAAGGCGGCCCCCUGGACAAAGACUGACGCUCAGGUGCGAAAGCGUGGGGAGCAAACAGGAUUAGAUACCCGGGUAGUC